CGAACGCUGGCGGCGUGCUUUAUACAUGCAAGUCGAACGAUGAAGUUCCUUCGGGAAUGGAUUAGUGGCGAACGGGUGAGGAACACGUGAGAAACCUGCCUUUCAUUCUGGGAUAACACCGGGAAACCGGUGCUAAAACCGGAUACUCCGUCUUGGCGGCAUCGCCGAGCCGGGAAAAAUUUUGAUGAAAGAUGGUCUCGCGGCCUAUCAGCUAGUUGGUGAGGUAAUGGCUCACCAAGGCAACGACGGGUAGCCGGCCUGAGAGGGCGACCGGCCACACUGGGACUGAGACACGGCCCAGACUCCUACGGGAGGCAGCAGUAGGGAAUAUUGGGCAAUGGGCGAAAGCCUGACCCAGCGACGCCGCGUGAGGGAUGAAGGUCUUCGGAUUGUAAACCUCUUUCAGUAGGGAAGAAGCGAAAGUGACGGUACCUAAAGAAGAAGCACCGGCUAACUAUGUGCCAGCAG
This 468-nucleotide ribosomal RNA is filed under the name uncultured bacterium. RNAcentral's name for it is "bacterial SSU rRNA". It matches the Rfam family "Bacterial small subunit ribosomal RNA", at positions 30 to 514 of the family's 1533-position model. The record is from RNAcentral.